RNAcentral lists this ribosomal RNA (253 nucleotides) under uncultured bacterium. RNAcentral's name for it is "partial 16S ribosomal RNA". It matches the Rfam family "Bacterial small subunit ribosomal RNA", at positions 524 to 776 of the family's 1533-position model. The record is from RNAcentral.
UACGGGGGGGGCAAGCGUUGUUCGGAAUUACUGGGCGUAAAGGGCUCGUAGGCGGCCAACUAAGUCAGACGUGAAAUCCCUCGGCUUAACCGGGGAACUGCGUCUGAUACUGGAUGGCUAGAGGUUGGGAGAGGGAUGCGGAAUUCCAGGUGUAGCGGUGAAAUGCGUAGAUAUCGGGAGGAACACCGGUGGCGAAGGCGGGUCUCUGGGCCGAUACUGACGCUGAGGAGCGAAAGCGUGGGGAGCGAACAGG